CGGGUGUAAUUCAGCGGUAGAAUGCCACUUUUCCAAAGUGGACGCCACGGGUUCGAAUCCCGUCACCCG
RNAcentral lists this transfer RNA (69 nucleotides) under Candidatus Nealsonbacteria bacterium RIFCSPLOWO2_01_FULL_43_36. Its description in RNAcentral is "tRNA-Gly". It matches the Rfam family "tRNA". Rfam says of the family: Transfer RNA (tRNA) molecules are approximately 80 nucleotides in length. Their secondary structure includes four short double-helical elements and three loops (D, anti-codon, and T loops). Further hydrogen bonds mediate the characteristic L-shaped molecular structure. tRNAs have two regions of fundamental functional importance: the anti-codon, which is responsible for specific mRNA codon recognition, and the 3' end, to which the tRNAs corresponding amino acid is attached (by aminoacyl-tRNA synthetases). tRNAs cope with the degeneracy of the genetic code in two manners: having more than one tRNA (with a specific anti-codon) for a particular amino acid; and 'wobble' base-pairing, i.e. permitting non-standard base-pairing at the 3rd anti-codon position. Lineage: Bacteria; Candidatus Nealsoniibacteriota. The record is from RNAcentral.